RNAcentral lists this ribosomal RNA (549 nucleotides) under Stutzerimonas nitrititolerans. Its description in RNAcentral is "bacterial SSU rRNA". It matches the Rfam family "Bacterial small subunit ribosomal RNA", at positions 1059 to 1533 of the family's 1533-position model. Lineage: Bacteria; Pseudomonadati; Pseudomonadota; Gammaproteobacteria; Pseudomonadales; Pseudomonadaceae. The record is from RNAcentral.
CUCGUGUCGUGAGAUGUUGGGUUAAGUCCCGCAACGAGCGCAACCCUUAAGCUUAGUUGCCAUCAUUAAGUUGGGCACUCUAAGUUGACUGCCGGUGACAAACCGGAGGAAGGUGGGGAUGACGUCAAGUCAUCAUGGCCCUUACGGCCUGGGCUACACACGUGCUACAAUGGUCGGUACAAAGGGUUGCCAAGCCGCGAGGUGGAGCUAAUCCCAUAAAACCGAUCGUAGUCCGGAUCGCAGUCUGCAACUCGACUGCGUGAAGUCGGAAUCGCUAGUAAUCGUGAAUCANAAGUUGUUCUCAGUUCGGAUUGUAGUCUGCAACUCGACUAUAUGAAGCUGGAAUCGCUAGUAAUCGUAGAUCAGCAUGCUACGGUGAAUACGUUCCCGGGUCUUGUACACACCGCCCGUCACACCACGAGAGUUUGUAACACCCGAAGCCGGUGGAGUAACCAUUUGGAGCUAGCCGUCGAAGGUGGGACAAAUGAUUGGGGUGAAGUCGUAACAAGGUAGCCGUAUCGGAAGGUGCGGCUGGAUCACCUCCUUUCU